This 74-nucleotide transfer RNA is filed under the name Klebsiella pneumoniae. RNAcentral describes it as "tRNA-Arg(tcg)". Lineage: Bacteria; Pseudomonadati; Pseudomonadota; Gammaproteobacteria; Enterobacterales; Enterobacteriaceae. The record is from RNAcentral. RNAcentral also lists the same sequence under 3 other names.
UGGGGUUGGAAUAUGGUGCAUCCUGGAGGAUUCGAACCUCCGACCGCUCGGUUCGUAGCCGAGUACUCUAUCCA